GACGAACGCUGGCGGCGUGCUUAACACAUGCAAGUCGAACGGUGAAGCGCUUCCCUUUUUGGUGGGUGGGGAUGAGUGGCGAACGGGUGAGUAACACGUGAGUAACCUGCCCUCUUCUUCUGGAUAACCGCAUGAAAGUGUGGCUAAUACGGGAUAUUCUGGGUCUGUGGCAUGAUGGGUCUGGGUCAGAUAUUGUUUCGGUGGGGGAUGGUCUCGCGGCCUAUCAGGUUGUUGGUGGGGUGAUGGCCUACCAAGGCGGGGAGGAGUAGCCGGCCUGGGAGGGUGGACGGCCAGAGAGGGAGUGCGGCACGGUCCAGACUGCGACAGGGGGCAGCAGGGGAGAGUAGGGAACAGUGGGGAAAAUGGUGAAGCGGCGGCGCGGCGGGAGGGAUGGAGGCGUGCGGGUUAUGAACCUCUUUCGCCAGUGAAGCGGGCCUGCCUCGUAUGUGGGUGGGUUGACGGUAGCUGGACAAGAAGCGCCGGCUAACUACGUG
Molecule: ribosomal RNA, 494 nt
Filed under: uncultured bacterium
Lineage: Bacteria
Description: partial 16S ribosomal RNA
Rfam family: Bacterial small subunit ribosomal RNA
Source: RNAcentral